RNAcentral lists this ribosomal RNA (440 nucleotides) under uncultured bacterium. RNAcentral's name for it is "partial 16S ribosomal RNA". It matches the Rfam family "Bacterial small subunit ribosomal RNA", at positions 338 to 795 of the family's 1533-position model. The record is from RNAcentral.
CCUACGGGUGGCAGCAGUGGGGAAUAUUGCACAAUGGGGGAAACCCUGAUGCAGCGACGCCGCGUGAGUGAAGCAGGAAUUCGUUAUGUAAAGCUCUAUCAGCAGGGAAGAAAAUGACGGUACCUGUGUAAGAAGCCGCGGCGAACUACGUGCCAGCAGCCGCGGUAAUACGGAGGGGGCAAGCGUUAUCCGGAGUUACUGGGUGUAAAGGGAGCGUAGACGGCAGUGCAAGUCUGGAGGGAAAGGCGGGGGCCCAACCCCCGGACUGGGCUGGAAACUGUACGGCUGGAGUGAAGGAGAGGUAAGCGGAAUUCCUAGUGUAGCGGUGAAAUGCGUAGAUAUUAGGAGGAACACCAGUGGCGAAGGCGGCUUACUGGACUGUAACUGACGUUGAGGCUCGAAAGCGUGGGGAGCAAACAGGAUUAGAUACCCCAGUAGUC